UGAGGAAUAUUGGUCAAUGGGGGCAACCCUGAACCAGCCAAGUCGCGUGAAGGAUGAAGGUCUUAUGGAUUGUAAACUUCUUUUAUACAGGAAUAAAUUGGGGGACGUGUCCCCUCUUGCAUGUACUGUAUGAAUAAGGAUCGGCUAACUCCGUGCCAGCAGCCGCGGUAAUACGGAGGAUCCGAGCGUUAUCCGGAUUUAUUGGGAUUAAAGGGUGCGCAGGCGGGAUGUUAAGUCGGCGGUGAAAUUUUGCAGCUCAACUGUAAAAGUGCCUUCGAUACUGGCCUCCUUGAGUGUGGAUGAAGUAGGCGGAAUUUGUGGUGUAGCGGUGAAAUGCUUAGAUAUCACGAGGAACUCCGAUUGCGCAGGCAGCUUACUAAGCCACAACUGACGCUCAUGCACGAAGGCGUGGGGAUCAAACA
RNAcentral lists this ribosomal RNA (422 nucleotides) under uncultured bacterium. RNAcentral describes it as "bacterial SSU rRNA". It matches the Rfam family "Bacterial small subunit ribosomal RNA", at positions 355 to 774 of the family's 1533-position model. The record is from RNAcentral.